CUUUUGUAAUUGGCGAAGAACAUCGUGCAUUUAUAUAUAAAUAAGCUGGAAAGUUGCACAGGGCAUUCAGGACAAAAAUGGCAAAGUCCUAUCUAAGAGAUAGUAAUGGUGGUUUUGUUAAACAUCGACCCGCGAAAUAUUCUUACUGUAUAAAACAAGAGGAUUGGGAUAAAUUUGUAGCUCAACGUAUGACUGAAAAGUUUCAGAAAGUGAGUCGUGAAAAUCGAGAAAGAGCGUCGAAUCCUCAACAUCCCUAUAGAAAGUCACGUCUAGGGUGUGCUCGUCUUGAAGCUGAUAUGGUAGAAGAGUCGGGAGUUGAUGAGAUAAAUCGUUCUCAAGUGUGGAAAGCUGCCCGCGUCAAUAAGGAUGGGGUGAUUGAUAAUGAGAAUGUUCAAAGAGUUGUGGAUCAAUGUGAGAAGUUAACAGAAGCUCUGACAGAAGAAGAGAGACAAGACAUUGGUCCUACGGACAUAUUAUUUGAGGCUCUAAAUCUCCCAAACUAUUCUGGGCGUGUUAGGAGUUACGGUUUUGGGGUAUGUUCUAAGGACAUAUUUCCACGCCAAAUUCGCCCCACACAAAUGGACUUUCAAAAAUUGUAUGGCUUUUGCAACACACUCAAAAGUAGAUUGGAGGUGCUAGAGAGAGAGAGAAGUUGGAGAGAGAUAAGUUGGAUAGAGAAAAGAUAGAGAGGCAAAAAACUGAAGAAGUGGUUGAGAAAGAACAACCUGAAAAAGUGGCACAGAGCUUGCAACAACUUGAAAAAGUGGAAGAAAGUCAACAACUUGAAAAAGUGGCAGAAAGACAACAAUCUCAACAAGUGUCAAAGAACUUGAAGCAGCGUGAAAAAGGGACACAAAGGCAAGAACCAAGUGAUAAAGGUUCUUGCAACCCUGGAUCAUUUGGAAAUAUUCCCGAGGGUCUCUUUCCUGUUAAUAUAUAUUUAUCAUCGCCGAGUCGGUGUUUGGUUGCUCGUGACAAACUAUAUAACACCAAAGGUAACACAGUGCAGGGCAUGACGUUACCACCUGGAUAUGUCAAGGUUAAUAUCGAAGUUGCUAUUGUGCCAAAUGCUCCGUUGCCGAUAUCUGUUGAUGGUGGAGAUGUAUCGAUGGUUUGUCAUGGAAUAGGAACAAUUGUGCCAUGGCCAAUGAAACUUCUUGAAUUUGUUGCUGAAUGUGAAAAGAAUCCUGAUCAAUCCCAAAACAAAGCUAAGAAUACCCAACGAAGUGUUGAUUCUGUUUCAUCACCUAACAAAAGCAACAAAAAAUCCAAAAUUGAAGAGUCUCCUAGAGUUGGCGGUUCAACCGGUCUUGUAAAUUUACCUUUACUUGAUAUGUAUGUGAAAAAAAUGAUGAGGGUUGGAUCUUUAGUUCAAAUAAAAAUGGAGGAAAGUAUAUUUGGUUAGGAGUUUUUAGAGCAUCUACGUGUAGAGAAUAUAAAAGAGAUUCUUGAUCACAACUGGUUAAGUGCCUCUACUAUCACUGUAUUUGCCAGGUAUUUGUAUGACAAGUUUAUUAGUCCAAAUGGAUUAAUAAAUAAGUUCUCCUUCAUAUCCCCACAUGUAUCACGGGAGGAUAAUAUAGGAAAUGCUGUAGCAAAAAUACUCUUGAAAGAUGAGGAGUACUUCAAGGAUAAGAUGAUUCUUGCACCUUGCAAUCUAGGGUGAGAAUUCUAUUCAAAAUGUUAUUAAAUUUACGAGAACAAACUAUAUAUUCAAUGUAAAUUUUUAUUGCAAUAUUCAAAUGUUGGGUACAUGAAACAUUGGGUGUUACUUGUCAUCAAUCUCGAUGCUGAGGUGAUAUAUUACAUGGACCCGUUGAAUGGUGAGCCAACAAAACAUCAAAAUUUAAAAACCAAGUUUGAGAAUGUGUUGCAAAUUUAUCGUGCUAAUAGUAGUUCUAAAGUGCCUAAAGUCUCCAAGUCAAAGAAAAUUUCAUGGUCAAAAAUUCGGUGUCCCCGUCAAAUUAAUAGCAUUGACUGUGGAUAUUUUGUGAUGCGAUUUAUGAAAGAGGUCAUCAUGGAAAAUGAAAUUAUGAUCCCCGUAAAUUAUUUUGAUGACCACAAAUGUCGUACCUACUCUAACGAUAAGUUAACUGAGGUCAAGGAGGAUUAGGCUACCUAUAUGGUGGAUGAUGUGUUCGGAAAACAAGAAGCAAUUAUUUUGCCUAGCUAGAAAAGUGAUUCGAUGUCUGGGUUCGGAAGUGCUUUGGUUCGCGAAGUGAUUACUACUUGAUGUUGUUUUGUUGUCAUUUCUUGAUUUUUUAGAUGUUUUUUCUCUAGUGUAGAAUAUAUGCUGUACUUUUUUUUUUGGAAUUUAGUUUGAUGCACUUGGACCAAAUUAAUUACUUGUGGCAAAAGUUUUAGCUUAAUUUCAUUGAGAUCAAUGUUGAAUCUGGUUUGUUAUAUCAUUUAUCACUAUUAUGUAGUGUAGAUUGAUCUAUAUACAUAGAUACAAUUCCUUCCAUAUUUUUUAAUUAAUUAUAUGGCAAUG
Molecule: long non-coding RNA, 2491 nt
Organism: Vicia villosa (hairy vetch)
Lineage: Eukaryota; Viridiplantae; Streptophyta; Magnoliopsida; Fabales; Fabaceae
Exons: 11
Source: RefSeq, a predicted model, not a curated record